AGUUCUUCUAGCACCCAUAUCAGGUUAGUUACAAUUUUUGUUUGAAAUAUAUACUUAGAGUAGAUCUGUGUUGGUUAGAGGAUUUGAAAUGUAUAUUUGCACUGAGAGGAGAGGAGAGGAAAGGGGUUGGGGUUGGGGUUGGGGUUGGGUGUGCGCUGACAGAGGGAGGUGCGCCGCAACUCAGAGUCGCGGUUGAGGGGUGCCGCACCUGGGAGGUGCGGCUGGGCGUAGCCGCAUUUGGGAGAUGNGGCAGUCGUUAGGGGGGUGCUUGNGAGUUGCGGCAGAGUAGCUGACUUGCGGCAUAGGAGCUGAGUUGCGGCAGAGGUGCGAGUUGCGGCAGUGAGUUGCGGCAGGGAGGUGAGUUGCGGCAGAGGUG
RNAcentral lists this long non-coding RNA (376 nucleotides) under Vigna radiata. RNAcentral's name for it is "long non-coding RNA (VRAD_LNC010495)". Lineage: Eukaryota; Viridiplantae; Streptophyta; Magnoliopsida; Fabales; Fabaceae. The record is from RNAcentral.